UACGGAAGGCAGCAGUGGGGAAUAUUGGACAAUGGGCGAAAGCCUGAUCCAGCCAUGCCGCAUGAGUGAAGAAGGCCUUCGGGUUGUAAAGCUCUUUUAGUGAGAAAGAAUAAUGACGGUACUCACAGAAGAAGUCCUGGCUAACUCCGUGCCAGCAGCCGCGGUAAUACGGAGAGGGCUAGCGUUAUUCGGAAUUAUUGGGCGUAAAGAGCGCGUAGGCUGAUUUAGUAAGUUAAAAGUGAAAUCCCAAAGCUUAACUUUGGAAUUGCUUUUUAAAACUGCUAGUCUAGAGAUUGAAAGAGGAUAGAGGAAUUCCUAGUGUAGAGGUGAAAUUCGUAAAUAUUAGGAGGAACACCAGUGGCGAAGGCGUCUAUCUGGUUCAAAUCUGACGCUGAGGCGCGAAGGGCGUGGGGAGCAAACGAGGGAUUAGAUACC
RNAcentral lists this ribosomal RNA (435 nucleotides) under uncultured bacterium. RNAcentral describes it as "bacterial SSU rRNA". It matches the Rfam family "Bacterial small subunit ribosomal RNA", at positions 340 to 786 of the family's 1533-position model. The record is from RNAcentral.